Molecule: long non-coding RNA, 515 nt
Organism: Carassius gibelio (silver crucian carp)
Lineage: Eukaryota; Metazoa; Chordata; Actinopteri; Cypriniformes; Cyprinidae
Exons: 3
Source: RefSeq, a predicted model, not a curated record
CAGGUUUGAGUGAUCUUACCGCAGUUUCUCCAGUUUACAGCGAGGAUCCUCCAGUCCAGCACAGAGACACUUCACUCCCAAAUCUCUUAUUUUAUUCACAGACAGAUCCAGUUCUCUCAGGUGUGAGGGGUUUGAUCUCAGAGCUGAAGUCAGAGCAGAACAACCUUCAUCUGUGACGUCACAAUAACUCAACCUGUAGAGAACAAUGACACACUCUUCACUCUCUCAGAUCAGAUCAGUUUAGCUGUGAAUCCAUUAGUAAAGAGAAAGAACAAAUCAAUGUGUGAUGAAUCACUGGACUGACAUUAAAAACAUAAAAAAAAACAUGAUCAUAAAUAAUUUAAAGCAUCAUUCAAAAAUAAAAAUUAUUUAUUUUACUGUCAGGAUUUUUAACCAAAUACAGGCAUGUGAUUGGAAACAUUAGGCAAGGCAGGUUUAUAUAUAUAGCACAUUUCGUACACAAUAGUAAUUCAAAGUGCUUUACAUAAAAGAAAGUAAAAUAAUAAUGAAGAAAA